GUGGUGACCAUGAAACUACUAUUCCUAGUGAUGUGCCUGAUUGGACUUUGUUCUUCCAUUCCUGUGUCUGAGGAACAUGAUCGAGAGGAGCGCUCAGCUAGCAAUGAGAGGUACAGGGGUUAUGGCCGUGGUUUGGGAAGGUUUUACCCCUAUCAGCAGCCUCAGUACCCACCCUACUUCCCUUAUGCGCAGCCUUCUCAAGGUAACUCUGCCUUGAUGGCCCUCCUGCCCUUCCUAUUGGCC
Oncorhynchus masou masou (cherry salmon) is the source of this 243-nucleotide long non-coding RNA. RefSeq lists it as uncharacterized. The transcript is spliced from 3 exons. Lineage: Eukaryota; Metazoa; Chordata; Actinopteri; Salmoniformes; Salmonidae. The record is from RefSeq and is a predicted model, not a curated record.